GACGAACGCUGGCGGCGUGCUUAACACAUGCAAGUCGAACGGUAAGGCCCUUCGGGGUACUCGAGUGGCGAACGGGUGAGUAACACGUGGGUGAUCUGCCCUGCACUUCGGGAUAAGCCUGGGAAACUGGGUCUAAUACCGGAUAGGACUCCUGGCUUCAUGGUUGGGGGUGGAAAGCUUUUGCGGUGUGGGAUGGGCCCGCGGCCUAUCAGCUUGUUGGUGGGGUAAUGGCCUACCAAGGCGACGACGGGUAGCCGGCCUGAGAGGGUGACCGGUCACACUGGGACUGGGAUACGGCCCAGACUCCUACGGGAGGCAGCAGUGGGGAAUAUUGCACAAUGGGCGCAAGCCUGAUGCAGCGACGCCGCGUGAGGGAUGACGGCCUUCGGGUUGUAAACCUCUUUCAGCUAUGACGAAGCGCAAGUGACGGUAGUAGCAGAAGAAGGACCGGCCAACUACGUGCCAGCCGCCGCGGUAA
RNAcentral lists this ribosomal RNA (478 nucleotides) under uncultured bacterium. RNAcentral describes it as "partial 16S ribosomal RNA". It matches the Rfam family "Bacterial small subunit ribosomal RNA", at positions 28 to 523 of the family's 1533-position model. The record is from RNAcentral.